UGCCAGCCGCAGCGGUAAUACGGAGGGUGCAAGCGUUAAUCGGAAUUACUGGGCGUAAAGCGUCUGUAGGCGGCUUAUCAAGUCGGAUGUGAAAUCCCAGGGCUUAACCUUGGAACUGCAUUCGAAACUGGUUCGCUAGAGUAUGUGAGAGGGUAGUGGAAUUUCUAGUGUAGCGGUGAAAUGCGUAGAUAUUAGAAGGAACAUCAGUGGCGAAGGCGACUGCCUGGCACAAUACUGACGCUCAGAGACGAAAGCGUGGGGAGCAAACAGGAUUAGAUA
RNAcentral lists this ribosomal RNA (279 nucleotides) under uncultured bacterium. Its description in RNAcentral is "partial 16S ribosomal RNA". It matches the Rfam family "Bacterial small subunit ribosomal RNA", at positions 506 to 784 of the family's 1533-position model. The record is from RNAcentral.